ACGGGAGGCAGCAGUGGUGAAUAUUGGACAAUGGGCGAAAGCCUGAUCCAGCGACGCCGCGUGAGUGAAGAAGUAUUUCGGUAUGUAAAGCUCUAUCAGCAGGGAAGAUAAUGACGGUACCUGACUAAGAAGCCCCGGCCAACUACGUGCCAGCAGCCGCGGUAAUACGUCGGGGGCAAGAGUUAUCCGGAUUUACUGGGUGUAAAGGGAGCGUAGACGGUAUGGCAAGUCUGAUGUGAAAACCCAGGGCUCAACCCUGGGACGGCAUUGGAAACUGUCAAACUAGAGUGCAGGAGAGGUAAGUGGAAUUCCUAGUGUAGCGGUGAAAUGCGUAGAUAUUAGGAGGAACACCAGUGGCGAAGGCGGCUUACUGGACUGUAACUGACGUUGAGGCUCGAAAGCGUGGGGAGCAAACAGGAUUAGAUACCCUGGUA
This 434-nucleotide ribosomal RNA is filed under the name uncultured Lachnospiraceae bacterium. Its description in RNAcentral is "partial 16S ribosomal RNA". It matches the Rfam family "Bacterial small subunit ribosomal RNA", at positions 341 to 792 of the family's 1533-position model. Lineage: Bacteria; Bacillati; Bacillota; Clostridia; Lachnospirales; Lachnospiraceae. The record is from RNAcentral.